UGCCUUUGGAUGUGACUAUAGAGGGGUGA
This 29-nucleotide non-coding RNA is filed under the name Rattus norvegicus (Norway rat). The record is from RNAcentral. Lineage: Eukaryota; Metazoa; Chordata; Mammalia; Rodentia; Muridae.